This 76-nucleotide small RNA is filed under the name Xanthomonas campestris pv. raphani. Its description in RNAcentral is "sX9 sRNA". It matches the Rfam family "Xanthomonas sRNA sX9". Lineage: Bacteria; Pseudomonadati; Pseudomonadota; Gammaproteobacteria; Lysobacterales; Lysobacteraceae. The record is from RNAcentral.
AUGUACCUCCGGACACUCCGGUUCCUCCGCGCCGUCCGCACCCCACCUGACGGCUGCUCGCUACGGUUUGUUAGCC